AACGAACGCUGGCGGCAUGCCUAACACAUGCAAGUCGAACGAAGGCUUCGGCCUUAGUGGCGCACGGGUGCGGAACGCGUGGGAAUCUGCCCUUUGCUUCGGAAUAACAGUUAGAAAUGACUGCUAAUACCGGAUGAUGUCGCACGACCAAAGAUUUAUCGGCACAGGAUGAGCCCGCGUAGGAUUAGCUAGUUGGUGGGGUACAGGCCUGCCAAGGCGACGAUGCUUAGCUGGUCUGAGAGGAUGAUCAGCCACACUGGGACUGAGACACGGCCCAGACUCCGACGGGAGGGAGCAGUAGGGAAUAUUAGACAAGGGGCGAAAGCGUGAUCCAGCAAUGCCGGGGGAGUGAUGAAGGCCUUAGGGUUGUAAAGCUCUUUGACCCGGGAUGAUAAUGACAGUACCGGGAGAAGAAGCUCCGGCUAACUACGUG
This 433-nucleotide ribosomal RNA is filed under the name uncultured bacterium. Its description in RNAcentral is "partial 16S ribosomal RNA". It matches the Rfam family "Bacterial small subunit ribosomal RNA", at positions 29 to 507 of the family's 1533-position model. The record is from RNAcentral.